AUGGAACAGGGCUUGUCUUUAUGACUUACAGAAUCCACUGAAAUCUCUGUGGACAUUGCCAACCUUGGGGGAACUUCUCCAAGCCUCUUGUCACUCCAGCACCUUCCACCUCUUCCCCUCUGAAGACCUCAGACUCUGUCCUACGCCCCUAAAGAAAUAUCUCCCACAGUCCCCAACACGACGAGGCAAGAGAGCCAAAACUUGGGAUGGCAAAGAGGGGAAAAAAACAACAGGGAGAACAGCAACGCGAAAAACACAAAUUACUCUCUCGGUAAAUCAUCCUGUAAAACAGUAGCACACGUACGAGGUCAAGCUUCAAGGAAUGGAAAUAAUUGUCACUGAUGCUAGAGGCUGGACUUGGGACUACAGAAUUGUCGCUAGCACUGUACAAUGGCUUUGGGUGGGGCCCAUUCACGUGUUUCCUUUGUUUUAUCCACCCACUCUCCCCUGGUGGCCGCCCUGCUGGUCUGGAUGUGCGCUCUGGGAGCAGAGGGCCCUUGCUGGGAGCUCACUCACUGGACCAUGCCUAGGUCUUUGCUAGCAUGGCGUGGUGCCAUGUCCACACCCAGGAUCCGAACUGACAAACCCCGGGCCGUGGAGAAGCAGAAUGUGCGCACUUAACCACUGCGCCACUGGGCUGGCCCUGCAGGAGGCAUGUAAAUGGGAUGGUCGACAGCCAAGAGGAGAGCCAGCGCUUAAUGAAGGCGCAGUCUGUGUCGCAUGAUCUCAUCAGACCUCGCAGAAACCUCUGAAGUAGGCAUUGUCAGGUUUACAGAUGAGGAAACUGAGGCUCGGUGAUGUGUUGGCUUUGUGCCCAAGUUCACGCCGCUGAGAAGACACAGAGCUGGACGCUCCUCCUCAGUCCCUGGAGGCUGGUCUCUGCAAUCCAGCAGCCCAGGCGGUUCCCACCCCUCCCUGUGGCCUCCUCGGAAGGUACUGUUCCCCAGCCUGGCAGCAGGUGGGGACAGAACACCACUGGCCCCGCUCAAUUACCUUUGAAGUGUUCCCAGCCCAUGAGGAGGAUACCUGGGUGAGGAGACCAGGUGUCUGCAAGGCUUGGAGGAGACAGUGGCCCCAGGAACCAGCUAAGGUGGGUAAGGGCAGGUCAGCUGGCCAGGUAAACAUCAGGGCCGGCAAAUGUACUUCCUGGCAGAGGGGCCAGCCCAGGAGAGGAAAGGGGCUUUCACCAAGGUGGCCAGUCUGGCACUGUUACCUUGGGCUCACAGUAGAAAUGGAAGCAACACUGCGUUUCUUCUUGGCUCUUUUUAAAGGUUAUGCCAUUUUCCAGUUUUCAGGGGAGAAUCGUCCAGGAGGAUCAUGGUUCCGGUUGAUUCUAUAAAUAAAGAGGAAGGUACUAAGUAUUUUUGGUCACUACUGAGAGACCACAAGAUGACUAGGAAAAGAUUCAGCGUUGACAAGACGCAUGUAGGAAUUUCACAAUGCUUCUCCGCCUCUGUGAAUCUUGCAAAUAUUAAUUUAAUCUGCUGGGUAAAUUGGUAAUAAAAUUCUCUUUGUAUUAAGGAAGUGGUGAAGUUAAUAGGCUGUAAACCAGAAUAAUUCUUGGGUGGUUUUAUGGCAGCGCAUGCCAGCACCUCUAAUUGUACUGUGAAGGACUGAGUUACUUUGCCACCUCUUGUGACUGGAAUAGCAUUAUCGUUGACUCAUGUGGCAUGCCCAGCCCUGAGACGCGCCCUGGCCCAAAGUAGUUGUUCAAUAAAUACCAUUGUGAUAAGUCUAACAUUCAGUCUACACAGCACGAAAUGAAAAUUGAGAGGCUACAGUUAAGCUGAGAUUAUCUCGACUGAUGAAUCUUUUUUAUUCCGUGGAUCAGGAAUAGGUCUAGAAACUUCUUCCUGGGUGCCCUAAAGCAGAGAUCCUAGAAAGC
Equus caballus (horse) is the source of this 1885-nucleotide long non-coding RNA. Lineage: Eukaryota; Metazoa; Chordata; Mammalia; Perissodactyla; Equidae. The record is from Ensembl.